RNAcentral lists this ribosomal RNA (492 nucleotides) under uncultured bacterium. RNAcentral describes it as "partial 16S ribosomal RNA". It matches the Rfam family "Bacterial small subunit ribosomal RNA", at positions 29 to 507 of the family's 1533-position model. The record is from RNAcentral.
AGUGAACGCUGGCGGUAGGCCUAACACAUGCAAGUCGAACGGCAGCACAGUAAGAGCUUGCUCUUACGGGUGGCGAGUGGCGGACGGGUGAGGAAUACAUCGGCAUCUACUUUUUCGUGGGGGAUAACGUAGGGAAACUUACGCUAAUACCGCAUACGACCUACGGGUGAAAGCAGGGGAUCUUCGGACCUUGCGCGUUUGAAUGAGCCGAUGUCGGAUUAGCUAGUUGGCGGGGUAAAGGCCCACCAAGGCGACGAUCCGUAGCUGGUCUGAGAGGAUGAUCAGCCACACUGGAACUGAGACACGGUCCAGACUCCUACGGGAGGCAGCAGUGGGGAAUAUUGGACAAAGGGCGCAAGCCUGAUCCAGCCAUACCGCGUGAGUGAAGAAGGCCUUCGGGUUGUAAAGCCCUUUUGUUGGGAAAGAAAAGCAGCAGGUUAAUACACCGAUGUUCUGACGGUACCCAAAGAAUAAGCACCGGCUAACUUCGUG